Molecule: long non-coding RNA, 632 nt
Organism: Peromyscus maniculatus bairdii (prairie deer mouse)
Lineage: Eukaryota; Metazoa; Chordata; Mammalia; Rodentia; Cricetidae
Source: RefSeq, a predicted model, not a curated record
ACUGCAGAAGGUGCUCUCUAGUUAGAAGUGGGCUACAUUGGAGUUUCUUUGAAGUGUAACUUACUGGUUUGGACGUGGUUGGCUUCUUCCACCCUUCACUCUUGACCUUAAGACAGCCUCCAGGUUCCUCCCUACAGUCUUUGCUUGUUCCUGCCAUUUUGGGUGAACUCUUACUCUUUAUUUAAAAUUUUUAAUAUCAUCUCUUUGUCAAUGGAAUUAAGCCCAACUAUCAUAGAAUGACAACACACACUAUGGACAAAUCAUUCUUUCCCUGAGAUUACUCAUCUACAAGGAAUCCAUCAAGUUUUCCGGACAGAAUCUACAAAGACAUCUAUCAAUUGACAGGAUAUGGUGAAGAAACAGGAGUCGAGACAAGAAAGAAAUAGCACACUUUUUUAAAAAAAUGAAAGAAUCUGAAUAAGUUACCAUUCAAGAAGGAAACCACUGUCUUCGUGCCCCACUCUGAAUCAAGCCCCAGCUGUUGUGCUCAAGUUCAAAAACGAGAGGCUUAACUAGAAUCAACUCCAUUUUUUCUCAAAUCGUUCGACUUUUCACCUUCCUGUUGGAACAUGCUCCUGACUCUCACAGAUGAACUAAACUGGUGGUCAGAGAAGGAGAAGGUGAAUAAUAAA